This 1185-nucleotide ribosomal RNA is filed under the name uncultured Acinetobacter sp. Its description in RNAcentral is "bacterial SSU rRNA". It matches the Rfam family "Bacterial small subunit ribosomal RNA", at positions 202 to 1364 of the family's 1533-position model. Lineage: Bacteria; Pseudomonadati; Pseudomonadota; Gammaproteobacteria; Moraxellales; Moraxellaceae. The record is from RNAcentral.
AAAGCAGGGGAUCUUCGGACCUUGCGCUAAUAGAUGAGCCUAAGUCGGAUUAGCUAGUUGGUGGGGUAAAGGCCUACCAAGGCGACGAUCUGUAGCGGGUCUGAGAGGAUGAUCCGCCACACUGGGACUGAGACACGGCCCAGACUCCUACGGGAGGCAGCAGUGGGGAAUAUUGGACAAUGGGCGCAAGCCUGAUCCAGCCAUGCCGCGUGUGUGAAGAAGGCCUUUUGGUUGUAAAGCACUUUAAGCGAGGAGGAGGCUCCUUUAGUUAAUACCUAAAGUGAGUGGACGUUACUCGCAGAAUAAGCACCGGCUAACUCUGUGCCAGCAGCCGCGGUAAUACAGAGGGUGCGAGCGUUAAUCGGAUUUACUGGGCGUAAAGCGUGCGUAGGCGGCUUUUUAAGUCGGAUGUGAAAUCCCUGAGCUUAACUUAGGAAUUGCAUUCGAUACUGGAAAGCUAGAGUAUGGGAGAGGAUGGUAGAAUUCCAGGUGUAGCGGUGAAAUGCGUAGAGAUCUGGAGNGAAUACCGAUGGCGAAGGCAGCCAUCUGGCCUAAUACUGACGCUGAGGUACGAAAGCAUGGGGAGCAAACAGGAUUAGAUACCCUGGUAGUCCAUGCCGUAAACGAUGUCUACUAGCCGUUGGGGCCUUUGAGGCUUUAGUGGCGCAGCUAACGCGAUAAGUAGACCGCCUGGGGAGUACGGUNCNGNCAAGACUAAAACUCAAAUGAAUUGACGGGGGCCCGCACAAGCGGUGGAGCAUGUGGUUUAAUUCGAUGCAACGCGAAGAACCUUACCUGGCCUUGACAUACUAAGAACUUUCCAGAGAUGGAUUGGUGCCUUCGGGAACUUAGAUACAGGUGCUGCAUGGCUGUCGUCAGCUCGUGUCGUGAGAUGUUGGGUUAAGUCCCGCAACGAGCGCAACCCUUUUUCUUAUUUGCCAGCGGGUCAUGCCGGGAACUUUAAGGAUACUGCCAGUGACAAACUGGAGGAAGGCGGGGACGACGUCAAGUCAUCAUGGCCCUUACGGCCAGGGCUACACACGUGCUACAAUGGUCGGUACAAAGGGUUGCUACCUCGCGAGAGGAUGCUAAUCUCAAAAAGCCGAUCGUAGUCCGGAUCGCAGUCUGCAACUCGACUGCGUGAAGUCGGAAUCGCUAGUAAUCGCGGAUCAGAAUGCCGCGGUG